GAUCAUUACAGAGUUCGUGCCCUCACGGGUAGACCUCCCACCCUUGUGUAUCAAUACUAUGUUGCUUUGGCGGGCCGUCAGGCUCCGGUUAGGCCCUCGGCUCAGGCUGGGGAGCGCCCGCCAGAGGACCCCAAAACUCUGAAUGUUAGUGUCGUCUGAGUACUAUACAAUAGUUAAAACUUUCAACAACGGAUCUCUUGGUUCUGGCAUCGAUGAAGAACGCAGCGAAAUGCGAUAAGUAAUGUGAAUUGCAGAAUUCAGUGAAUCAUCGAAUCUUUGAACGCACAUUGCGCCCCUUGGUAUUCCGGGGGGCAUGCCUGUUCGAGCGUCAUUUCAACCCUCAAGCACAGCUUGGUGUUGGGCCCUGCCAGCGAUGGCAGGCCCUAAAAUUAGUGGCGGUGCCGCUGAGCCCUGAGCGUAGUAAUUCUCCUCGCUACAGGGCCUCUGCGUGCCCCCGCCAGAACCCCCCAAUUUUCUAUGGUUGACCUCGGAUCAGGUAGGGAUACCCGCUGAACUUAAGCAUAUCAAUAAGCGGAGGAAAAGAAACCAACAGGGAUUGCCUCAGUAACGGCGAGUGAAGCGGCAUAAGCUCAAAUUUGAAAUCUGGCUCUUUCAGGGUCCGAGUUGUAAUUUGUAGAAGAUGCUUCGGGUGUGGUCCCGGUCUAAGUUCCUUGGAACAGGACGUCAUAGAGGGUGAGAAUCCCGUAUGUGACUGGGUGCCUAUGCUCAUGUGAAGCUCUUUCGACGAGUCGAGUUGUUUGGGAAUGCAGCUCAAAAUGGGUGGUAUAUUUCAUCUAAAGCUAAAUAUUGGCCAGAGACCGAUAGCGCACAAGUAGAGUGAUCGAAAGAUGAAAAGCACUUUGGAAAGAGAGUUAAACAGUACGUGAAAUUGUUGAAAGGGAAGCGCUUGCAAUCAGACUUGCGCCUGGUUGAUCAUCCGGGGUUCUCUCCGGUGCACUCGAUCAGGCUCAGGCCAGCAUCGGUUUGGGUGGUUGGAUAAAGGCCUUGGGAAUGUGGCCCCCCUCGGGGGGUGUUAUAGCCCUCGGUGCCAUGCAGCCUACCUGGACCGAGGACCGCGCU
Molecule: ribosomal RNA, 1080 nt
Filed under: Leotiomycetes sp. genotype 227
Lineage: Eukaryota; Fungi; Ascomycota; Leotiomycetes
Description: eukaryotic LSU rRNA
Rfam family: Eukaryotic large subunit ribosomal RNA (bases 483-1080)
Source: RNAcentral